AUUGAACGCUGGCGGAAUGCUUUACACAUGCAAGUCGAACGGUAGAGGGGGCAACCCCCUUGAGAGUGGCGAACGGGUGAGUAAUAUAUCGGAACGUGCCCAGUCGUGGGGAUAACGUAGCGAAAGUUACGCUAAUACCGCAUACGAUCUAAGGAUGAAAGCGGGGGACUCGCAAGAGCCUCGCGCGAUUGGAGCGGCCGAUAUCAGAUUAGGUAGUUGGUGGGGUAAAGGCUCACCAAGCCAACGAUCUGUAGCUGGUCUGAGAGGACGACCAGCCACACUGGAACUGAGACACGGUCCAGACUCCUACGGGAGGCAGCAGUGGGGAAUUUUGGACAAUGGACGCAAGUCUGAUCCAGCCAUUCCGCGUGCAGGAUGAAGGCCCUCGGGUUGUAAACUGCUUUUGUACGGAACGAAAGGUUUCUAUUAAUACUAGGAGCUCAUGACGGUACCGUAAGAAUAAGCACCGGCUAACUACGUGCCAGCAG
This 488-nucleotide ribosomal RNA is filed under the name uncultured bacterium. RNAcentral's name for it is "bacterial SSU rRNA". It matches the Rfam family "Bacterial small subunit ribosomal RNA", at positions 30 to 514 of the family's 1533-position model. The record is from RNAcentral.